GGAAGAGUAGGAAAGAGGCAGAGUCUUGUUUAAACUCAAAUACCUUCAGUUAAUUAGGAAACAUAGCAAGAUAAAUAAUGAAAACCAUGUGAAAGGCUCACCUCUUUGAGGCUGUAAGAACUGUUGACAUUCCUUGCCCUUCUACACUUGAUCACCUGCAGCUCCUGGAGUCAAGUGGAGAUGUGAUGCUUUUAGCCUGUAUUCUUAAAGGACCUGUAUUCGUAAAGGAAAAGUAAGUUUCUAGUCCUUGAGGCUAUGAAGAAGACUUCAAAAUUUGAUCCCAGUGCAUCCUAAAGAGGAUCCAUCAUUGAUCAUACUGCGCAAAUAAAUUUUGUGAAUUUAAGUAACUGUGAGGGAUAUUCAACAGAUUACGUGACAAUGGAGAGUAUCACAGUAAAGAACAUCUAUGGAAAACUGAAGCAC
This is a long non-coding RNA of Pelodiscus sinensis (Chinese soft-shelled turtle), 423 nucleotides long. RefSeq lists it as uncharacterized. NCBI's taxonomy places the organism in Eukaryota, Metazoa, Chordata, Testudines, Trionychidae. The record is from RefSeq and is a predicted model, not a curated record.